AGAACAAAAUAAAAUUCUUUAUGGGUGACAGUCAUGAGCUGUGCUUGGCUCCAAAAACCCGACUAAAGAUGUAACAAGGUGUGGUGUUGGGCGCAUUUAUCCUGUGUUAACUUCCUAUGUUAACGUGCUGUGACACCAGAGGUGUGCAUCCUCGAGUGUGAAGAGAAGGUCUUCCCCAGCCCCCUCUGGACUCCAUGCACCAAGGUCAUGGCCAGGAGCUCUUGGCAGCUCAGCCCUGCCGCCCCAGAACAUGUGGCGGCUGCUCUCUACCAGCCGAGAGCUUCGGAGAUGCAGCAUCUGCGGCGAAUGCCCCGAGUCCGGAGCUUGUUCCAGGAGCAGGAAGAGCCCGAGCCUGGCAUGGAGGAGGCUGGUGAGAUGGAGCAGAAGCAGCUGCAGAAGAGAUUUGGGGGCUUCACCGGGGCCCGGAAGUCGGCCAGGAAGUUGGCCAAUCAGAAGCGGUUCAGUGAGUUUAUGAGGCAAUACUUGGUCCUGAGCAUGCAGUCCAGCCAGCGCCGGCGCACCCUGCACCAGAAUGGUAAUGUGUAGCCGGAAGGGGCGCUCCUCCCAGCUGUACCGGCCACUGCAACCCAUGAGUGAGUUGGGCACCAAUAAGCUGGGGGCAAGGAGAGACCUCACACACCAACUGUCUUAGCCUUGCUCCCAGGCCUAGAAGCACAUUCAUCUCCCCGCCCCCUCCCCACUCCACACACACACACCCCGCAAGGAGUCCAGCCCACCCUUUCUCUAGGCAGCAAAGAUUUUCCUAUGAUUGCACCUUGAAGCUGACCACUUCGGGCUAGAGACUGGUUACCAUGGGGAUAAUAGUAGUAUGUUAAGAUAACUAAUUCCUCUAUCACUCCCCAGGAGCUUAGUUACUAUGGGGACAGUUAAGUGGACCAAUACGCCCAUCCAGUUGCCACAGCAACCAGUCAGCUCACCUUUCCUCGAGAUUGUCUCUCUAAACACCAAGAGUGGGACCUACUCUUAGCCAUUAGCAGAGUCCGAUUACCACAGCUAUGAUGGUGCUAUUUCAUCUUCAAAGAUGGCUUACCUAUCCCCUCUCCUUUCCCCAGCUCUCAGGGUGCCUGGCUCCAUGGAAACAUUAAAGUUUCCCAUUUUACCUGGCCAAAGAGUUCCUGUUAAGAUCAGGAGUUGUGGUUUCUGCUCUUCCUCCUUCCACAAGCCAUUUGUCCAUCCUGCCACCUUGCCAGAGAGGGACUGAUUCCUUGUGGUCAACGGUAUCAUUACUGAGCAAGACGUGGAGAAUUUGGUCCAAUGGACCUAGUAGCUACUAGAAUAUGGACUAAAGGGG
This 1312-nucleotide small RNA is filed under the name Pan troglodytes (chimpanzee). RNAcentral describes it as "retained intron". The record is from RNAcentral. Lineage: Eukaryota; Metazoa; Chordata; Mammalia; Primates; Hominidae.